RNAcentral lists this unclassified non-coding RNA (9301 nucleotides) under Anthonomus grandis grandis. RNAcentral describes it as "ecdysone-induced protein 74EF". Lineage: Eukaryota; Metazoa; Arthropoda; Insecta; Coleoptera; Curculionidae. The record is from RNAcentral.
CUUUACACAAAUAUUUAAGUCACUAUAGCGAGCCUUGCAAAAAAACUGAAUUAGAACAAGUCCCUUGUGACAGCCCUUUAAGAAUCCAGAAUAUUCUCGAGUUAGUUUUACCUUAUGAACGAUUUACUAUUGAAAAAAAAACUAGUUCAAACGGUAAAAGAUAAACCUUGGACGACAAGGUUACCUCUAUACCGAGACCUUGCCAGCGGUACCAUACCCACCGCAGUCACAAUUUUGGACAGUACCGAAAAAUCCGUUCAUUCUUCGAUAACAUUUCGGGCGGGAAACAGAUCCACUCGCCCCACCGAAAAAAACCCAAACCGUAGUAGCACGUAGUGGAGAACGAGGAAAAAAAAACAAAACAAGACAGAAAAAAAAAAGAAAGAAAAUCCUUCUCCGGCGCGCCGAACAUCGUGGUAGGCCGAGGAACGCGCUUCUCACUCUUCGCACCGCGCUCAGUUGUUUUAGUAACGCGUUCGCGUUGCGCAAACUUAAGUUGGCUGUGCGCGAUAGUCGGACGGACGGGACUAACGACCGCGCCAAUUCGUUUGUCUUUUGUUUUUUUUUUUUUUUGGUUUUUCGAAAAAGCCGGCAAUUGUUUUUUUUUGGAUUUUUGAAAAAAUUGCUUUGAAAGGGAGCUCUUAACGUGGAUGGAUAAUUGGACAAGUGGAAAAGUGGGAUUUUUCUAUUGUGCCGACUGAAUGAUAUUUGGGAAUUGUUGCAUUGGUGGUGUGAGAGAGGAUACGAUUUUUUUUCAACUCCUAGAGUGUUGUGAUUGGUUACUUUUAUAAGUUGGAUUAUCGUGCUUUUUUUGAUAUUGGAUUAACUACUUUUAUGAUGGAUAAUUUUGGAUCUACAAAAAACCAGCGUUCAUGUUUUGGAGACGGUUCCAGAUCCAUAGGGAUAUAUCAAGGUGUCUGAAACCAGUGGUCCUUCAACAGUUGCCGUUAGGAUAGCAGCAAAGAUCAGCCCCCACGUACUGCCCCUUGGCGGGGGGCAAGAAUAUCCAAUGUCCGCUCUGGCGAUGCCCUUUAUCGAUAACGAUCUUCUAUGGAGUAGUGAUCACGAUGGCAAAAUGGUCGAUUUAUCCUCUUGUUUACAGGACGCCUCAGUGGCAAUUGGUACUCAAUCGCCUGCAACUAGUGCUAGUUCUACAGCUUUGGGCGAGUUAUGCCAGUCUGAUUUGACCAACUUCGUUCCUCCGAUGACGCAUGAAGGGGUGGCCGAUAACGCUCCCAUGGGGGAUGCUGAUGAUAUUUUUAAGCAUCUUAGUGAUACCACCGCUAUUGAGAUCGAGCAUAUAUUAAGCGAGUUCAAUACGACCUAUAUUAAGCAGGAAGAAAACAACAACACGAUCGCCAAUGACCAGUGCAGUAGUAGUAACCCGGACUCUCCGCAGAGGUCGCCGUCGAUCGCCGAGCUGGGGCGUAAGUUCACCAUCGCGGCGGCCAACCCGAUCUUGGCGGAGAAACUGGCGACGCCUAGCGAUCAGAGUUUGAACUUGACGACGGCGCAUGCGUCCACGGACGGCAGGCAGUUGGCCACGCUCACGCCAAAAGUAGAGAAAGUUGAUAAGGAACAAAACAACUACCUGCACCAAUUGCUGUCGAGGCAAAGGAGUGAUAUCCAGCAUCCGUCCCUAUGCGAUUAUACCAGAAGAAAGGCUGUUUUUCCUAACACCACAGGAUCGUUACCGCCCAGCCCGGCGGACUCGGGCGUUUCGGACGUGGACAGUUCAUCUUCAGGGCACACGUCUACCGAUGAAUUGAAGGCGAGACUGCAGCCGUCGAUUCAUUCGCCUGUAGGCGGACUGUUUCCCAGGCAUCCCGCUUUAACGUGGAACACACCGUUACACCAGCAUGGCCAGAGGCAGAUGGGUCAACAGUUUUACCAACCGUUUUCCACGAAUUUGGACCCCUAUCAAAACUACCUGCUACAAGCUCAACAUCACCACGUGUCGACGCACCCCCACCAGUCGAUGCAUCAACAUCACCCGCAUAACCAGCACCCGUCGCCCUUCACCACCCCAACCCCGCCGUCCCCACCGCUCAGACACCACUCGGGGAUUCCCACGUCGGUGAUACAGGCGGCCACCAGUUCCGUCUACGACGACCCCUACCUACUGGGAUUCUCACCCAGGAAACUGAAGAAGGUGAAGAAACAAAGGCUUGGCGAGCCCGGUACUGCCCCCAAACGGAAAAGUCGCGAGGGUUCGACGACGUACCUAUGGGAAUUUUUGCUCAAACUGCUCCAGGACCGCGAGUACUGUCCGAGGUACAUCAAGUGGACAAAUAGGGAGAAGGGGGUGUUCAAACUGGUCGACUCCAAGGCGGUUUCAAGGCUAUGGGGGAUGCACAAGAAUAAACCAGAUAUGAACUACGAGACAAUGGGGAGGGCGUUAAGAUACUACUACCAAAGGGGUAUUUUAGCCAAAGUGGAUGGGCAACGUCUCGUAUACCAAUUCGUAGAAGUACCAAAAGACAUCGUAGAAAUAGACUGUACGGGGGCGGCGUGAACUUAAAAACACAACUGCCAAUAACUGCCCUAAUACUCAGCCCUACUACUAAAUCUGCCCAGUCGAAAGUACAAUUAUGGUUCUUAAAGACUAUUUUGAUAAGCAUAGUUUACAUACAACGUAGCGGCAAAUUGUGAAUCUUACAACGAAUUAAGAGGAUCCAGAGUUUAUUUAGGAGAAUUUCUUGAUGGAGGGAUAUCGUGGGCCCUGUUGACCAUCUACCACCCCUCCUAACGCCCGGAAGACUGCAAAAAAGAAUUUUACGUAGAAGAUUUUUUUGUACUGUAGAUCUCCUUAUUUAUAACAAGUAACGCGGUUCGAAAAGUGUGAGACGAAAAAUAUUGAUGAAUUUUACUAUUAAAGGUUGUGGUAAUUUAUAAGAGUUUAAUCAUUUGUUUUUUAUGGGUUUGUUACUGGAUGGAUGUCUGAGGACCAAAAUGCGUUUUUUUCCUUGUCAGCCCGUGAGUAUAUUAGAUAAAUAUAUAUUUUUUGGAAAUGUGGUUUAACAAAAAGGUGAAUUUUUGAAUUAUUUUUUGUGUGGUUCUCAUAUUUAGAGCACCCUAUUAUAUUGUUUAAAAAAUAAAUUAUUGUAAAAAGGAUUUUCCAGUUUCGAUAAGAGUAUUUUUAAAGUGUUGGCAGUUCCGGUCAUAACAGAAAUAGGAGCUAACUUCCUUAUUUUAAAUAAGAGGCUGUAUAUAUUUGUGCAUUUUUGGAUUCUCCGUAAAAUUCUAAGACAUUUAAUGGUCACAUGAUAUACUUUGGAGAAGUACUUUUUGAGAUAUAUUGUAUUAAAGAAAUAUCAUAUUUUAUAAGUUGACGUUGGUUUUCGGUAUAAUUGUAGUAUGCUGUUUUUAAUGUUAUUAAAUAGUGUUUUUCAAGGUGGCCUGAAUAAUUAACAAAAUUUUCAAAUUAGUAGCACUUCCGGUUUUACCGGAAAUAGGUGCUUAAUUUCCUAUUUUUAAUAGGAGACUCUAUAUAUUUAGAUCUAUAUAUAUUUGGCUUCUACAUGAAAUUUCAUGAAGUGUAUGACGUUUAUUUCCAGUUUAUCAAUAUUAUAGACAUUUCAAAAAUUCCUAAAAAAUAAGUUUAGGUCCAAGUAAAGACCCAGAAAUUAAGAGUCAAAAUUACCCGAUGAAAAAAAUUAUAAUUGACAAAAACGCUUUUGAAAAUUCUCAAAAAAAAUAUUUAGGACCGCUGUAUAGGAUUGAAAUUUUGUAUGUUUUAGCCAAGGGCUUAUACUAACUUUUUUUAAAGAAUCAUUUUUUUCUAAAUCUACAGGAUGUCCCAGAAAUUAAGAGUCAAAUUUAUCCAAUGAAAAAAAUACAAUUGACAAAAGCACUUUUGAAAAUUUUCAAAAAAAAUUAUUUAGGACUGCUGUAUAGUGUUGAAAUUUUAGUAUGUUUUAGUCAAGGGGUUAUACUAACUUUUUUUUCAAAACCAAAUUUUUCUAAAUGUACAGGAUGUUCCAGAAAUUAAGGGUUAAAGUUAUCCAAUGAAAAAAACUACAAUUGACAAAAGAACUUUUGAAAAUUCUCAAAAAAAAAAUAAUGGGACCGCUGUACAGGGUUGAGAUUUUAGUAUGUUUUAGACAAAGGGUUAUACUAACUUUUCUUUUAAAAUCACAUUUUUUCUAAAUGUACAGGAUGUCCCAGAAAUUAAGGGUCAAAAUUAUCCAUUGAAAAAAACUACAAUUGACAAAAGCACUUUUGAAAAAUUCUCAAAAAAAUAUUUAGGACUGCUGUACAGGGUUGUAAUUUUAGUAUGUUUUAGUCAAGGGCUUAUACUAACUUUUCUUAAUGAAUCAAUUUUUUUCUUAAUCUACAGGAGGUCCCAGAAAUUAAGGGUCAAAUUUAUCGACUGAAAAAAACUACAAUUGACAAAAGCACUUUUAAAAAUUCUCAAAAAAAUAUUUAGGACCGCUGUACACGAUUAAAAUUUUAGUAUGUUUUAGUCCAGGGCUUAUACUAUUUUUCUUAAAGAAUUACUUUUUUUCUAAAUGUACAGCAUGUCCCAGAAAUUAAGGGUCAAAUUUAUCCAAUGAAAAAAACUACAAUUGACAAAAACACUUUUGAAAAUUCUCAAAAAAAUAUAUUUAGGACCCCUGAACAGGGUUAAAAUCUUAGUAUGUUUUAGUCAAGGGCUUAUGCUAACUUUUUUUAAAAAAUUUUUUUUUUCCUAAUGUACAGGAUGUCCCAGAAAUUAAGGGUCAAAUUUAUCCAAUGAAAAAAACUACAAUUGACAAGAGCACUUUUGAAAAUUAAAAAAAAUAUAUAUUUAGGACUGCUGUACAGGGUUGAAAUUUUAGUAUGUUUUAGUCAAGGGUUUAUACUAGUUUCUCCAUAAGAAUUAAUUUUUUUUAUGUACAAGAUGCCCCAGAAAUUAAGAGUCAAAGUUAUCCAAUGAAAAAACUACAAUUGACAAGAGCACUUUUGAAAAAUUUUAAAAAAAUAUUUAAGACCGCUGUACAGGGUUAAAAUUUUAGUAUGUUUUAGCCAAGGGCUUAUACUAACUUUUCUUAAAGAAUCAUUUUUUUUCUAAAUCUACAGGAUGUCCCAGAAAUUAAGGGUCAAAGUUAUCCAAUGAAAAAAACUACAAUUGACAAAAGCACUUUUGAAAAUUCUCAAAAAAAUAUUUAGGACCACUGUACAGGAUUGAAAUUUUAGUAUGUUUUAGCCAAGGGCUUAUACUUACUUUUCGUAAAGAAUCAAUUUUUUUCUAAAUCUAUAGGAUGUCCCAGAAAUUAAGGGUCAAAUUUAUCCAAUGAAAAAAACUACAAUUGACAAAAGCACUUUUGAAACUUCUCAAAAAAAAUUAUUUAGGACUGCUGUAUAGGGUUGAAAUUUUAGUAUGUUUUAGUCAAGGGGUUGUACAAACUUUUUUUUUAAAACCAAAUUUAUCUAAAUAUACAGGAUGUCCCAGAAAUGAAGGGUCAAAGUUAUCCAAUGAAAAAAAACUACAAUUGACAAAAGAACUUUUGAAAAUUCUCAAAAAAAAUAUUUGGGACCGCUGUACAGGGUUGAGAUUUUAGUAUGUUUUAGUCAAGGGUUUAUACUAACUUUUUUUUAAAACAAAAUUUUUUCUAAAUGUAUAGGAUAUCCCAGAAAUUAAGGGUCAAAAUUACCGAAUGAAAAAAACUAUAAUUGACAAAAGCACUUUCGAAAAAUUUAAAAAAAAAAAUAUUUAGGACCGCUGUACAGGGUUGAAAUUUUAGUAUGCUUUAGUCAAGGGCUUAUACUAACUUCUCUUUAAAACUAAAUUUUUUUUAAAUAUACAGGAUGUGCCAGAAAUUAAGGGUCAAAGUUAUCCAAUGAAAAAAACUACAAUUGAAAAAAGCACUUUUGAAAAUUCUCAAAAAAAUAUUUAGGACCGCUGUACAGGAUUGAAAUUUUAGUAUGUUUUAGCCAAGGGCUUAUACUAACUUUUCGUAACGAAUCAAUUUUUUUUUAAUCUACAGGAUGUCCCAGAAAUUAAGGGUCAAAUUUAUCCAAUGAAAAAAACUACAAUUGACAAAAGCACUUUUGAAACUUCUCAAAAAAAAUUAUUUAGGACUGCUGUAUAGGGUUGAAAUUUUAGUAUGUUUUAAUCAAGGGGUUAUACUAACUUUUUUUUUAAAACCAAAUUUAUCUAAAUGUACAGGAUGUCCCAGAAAUGAAGGGUCAAAGUUAUCCAAUGAAAAAAAACUACAAUUGACAAAAGAACUUUUGAAAAUUCUCAAAAAAAAUAUUUGGGACCGCUGUACAGGGUUGAGAUUUUAGUAUGUUUUAGUCAAGGGCUUAUACUAACUUCUCUUUAAAACUAAAUUUUUUUUUAAAUAUACAGGAUGUGCCAGAAAUUAAGGGUCAAAGUUAUCCAAUGAAAAAAACUACAAUUGAAAAAAGCACUUUUGAAAAUUCUCAAAAAAAUAUUUAGGACCGCUGUACAGGAUUGAAAUUUUAGUAUGUUUUAGCCAAGGGCUUAUACUAACUUUUCGUAAAGAAUCAAUUUUUUUCUAAAUCUAUAGGAUGUCCCAGAAAUUAAGGGUCAAAUUUAUCCAAUGAAAAAAACUACAAUUGACAAAAGCACUUUUGAAACUUCUCAAAAAAAAUUAUUUACGACUGCUGUAUAGGGUUGAAAUUUUAGUAUGUUUUAGCCAAGGGCUUAUACUAACUUUUCGUAACAAAUCAAUUUUUUUUUAAUCUACAGGAUGUCCCAGAAAUUAAGGGUCAAAUUUAUCCAAUGAAAAAAACUACAAUUGACAAAAGCACUUUUGAAAAUUCUCAAAAAAAUAUAUUUAGGACCGCUGUACAGGGUUGAGAUAUUAGUAUGUUAUAGACAAAGGGUUAUACUAACUUUUCUUUAAAAAUCACAUUUUUUCUAAAUGUACAGGAUGUUCCAGAAAUUAAGGGUCAAAUUUAUCCAUUGAAAAAAACUACAAUUGACAAAAACACUUUUGAAAAAUUAAAAAAAAAAUAUUUAGGACUGCUGUACAGGGUUAAAAUUUUAGUAUGUUUUAGUCAAGGGGUUAUACUAACUUUUUUUUUUUAAACAAAAUUUUUCUAAAUGUACAGGAUGUUCCAGAAAUUAAGGGUCAAAUUUAUCCAAUGAAAAAAACUACAACUGACAAAAGCACUUUUGAAAAUUUUCAAAAAAAAAUAUUUAGGACCGCUGUACAGGGUUAAAAUUUUAGUAUGUUUUAGUCAAGGGCUUAUGCUAACUUUUUUUUAGAAAAAUUUUUUUUCCUAAUGUACAGGAUAUCCAAAAAAUUAAGGGUCAAAAUUCAUCAUGUAUCGCAUGUGACCCCUCUCAUUAGAAUUUCACGUAGUAAAAAUAUACACGGUGUCGAUUUAAAAAUAACAAAGUUGCCAUUUACUUUCUGUUUAUCAACAUUAUAUGUUAAUUUCUAAAGGCAAAUAAAAAUGUUUAAAAGAUCGCCUGUUCUAUUUACAUCAUUUUCAAGAAAACAGCUAUUCCAGAAAUACGUGCUAACUUCCUUAUUCUAUAUAGUACACCUUGUAUAUUUUUACAUAUUUGGAUUCUACGUGAAAUUUUAAGAAAUCUGAUGGGUCACAUCACAUACUUUGGCAAAAUGGUUUUUGAGAUAAAAACAGUUGAAAACCAUAAAUGUUUUAAAAUUUUUCCAAAAACAACUUUUUAAUUUAAUUAAAAUCCGGAUUAGUAAAUAAUUGCUAAAAAUAAACAUGAAAACUAUUGCUUACUUCUUUAAAACAAUUCGAUUUUAUAACCUUUAAUUUUUUUAAAAUUAAUUAUAUCUCGCAAACUCUUUGAGUAAAGUAUGGCAUGUGACCCCUCAAAUUUUUUAAAAUUUUACGUAGAAACCGAAGAUACUAAAAUAAAUACGGUUUUACAAAGACAAUUUCGAAAUUAACUAGUUUCUUCCAGUAAAAAAAUAUUAUUUUUACUGGAUUACCUUAUAUAUUAAUACGUCUUCAUAUUCUAUGUAAAAUUCCAUUAAUUUUGAGGGGUCACUCGAUAUACUUUAAUAGACGGGUUUUUAAGAUAUAAGUCCUUUUUAUGAUUUUUAACCGCUUAUAUCUCCUGAACCGUUUGACGAAAGUAUAUCAUGUGACCCAUCAAAUUUCUUGGCAUUUCACGUAGAAUCCAAAAAUGCAAAAAUAUACAAAGUGUACUAUAUAAAAUAAAAGAGUUAGCACCUGUUUUCUGUAUAUCAGAAAGUGUUGCAUAAAAAUCUAAUAACAUAUAAGGUGUCCCAUAUAAAAUAAUCCAAUUUUCUACUAAUAAAGUUUCAAAAAAAAAUGUUUGUUAAACCACAUUGUACGUGCAAUAUACAUACAUUACUAACUUAUAGUCCAUAAAACUACUUAAAGUACAAAACCAAGUCAAAUUAAGUUCAUCCACAGUUUUUUUGGUGCUCGGUUUAGGAAAUUUUACAAAAUGGAAAUUAGACUGCGUCGGUGCCUACGGAAUGAAACAAAAAAAACUUAUAGGAAGAUUGUUAGGUUACGAUAUUAUUAAUAAUGAUUAUUGCUCUCUUUUCACUCAAUGAAUUUAGAAAAAGAAAAAAAAAUGAUCUCCCUUAUAAAAAUGUACAUAAAUGUGUACUUAUUCAUGUCAUGUCAAUGUCUAAAAUUGUUCUUUUUAUUUGUUUAUUUAUGUGAUGGUACUGCCACGAUUUAAAUAUUUUUGUAUAUUCUUGUAUAGUAUUUAUUAAUUUUUUUUAUUUAAAAGGUGAAUUUUCAAAUUAGCAGCCCCCCCUUCACUCUCACCAUACGUACCUAAAAACGUGUCUUUUUUAGAGAAAUUUACCCCAGCAAAUCGACAAAAGUUCAAAUUAAAAAUCAGGUGUUUUUUAUAUAAUAAAUUAUAUCGAGAAACGUUUUUUAUACAUAAUGAUAGAUUUAGUAACUGUUAAAUGUUCUAAAUAUAAUGUGUUACUUAAAUGGGAUCUAAUAUACAAAAUUUAAACCCAUAAAUGUUGUCCUCUAUAUCUAUACAAUGUCCCAUUUUCGAUGUUACGAUGGAAUAUUCCUAAGUGUCCCUACUAUAUUAUAAAUUAAUUAAAUGAAGAUUGCUAAAUGUAAAUUUAUAUCGGUGAUAAAUGUUAUAUAUAAAUAAUUGUUUGUAAAUAUUAGAUAGAUUUUUAUCGUAUUGCAAAAACAGAACACUAUUUUUCAGUACGUUUUAUUUUUGUGGACGGACGAGAGGUGAAUAAUUGCGUUUUUAAAUAACUAUUGUAAAUGUUUAUAUUUAAAUUAAGUGAGUACUUUUAUUAUAUAUAUAGUUUAUGUAAUAUUUUUGUCUUUACAAAAUAAAUAACACUAGAAAGUA